GCACACCUCAACAUAUUCAAGGUCAAGCAGCUUUUCACCAUAUCCAUAGUAUCUUGCUGCUAAAUGAAAGAAUUAGUGUGGAGGAGCAGAGAAAAGGGCACCUCAACAUGUUCAAGGUCAAGCAGAAAUUAGGAGCUAGGUGUGCUUCUCCAGAGCUGAAAACUUCUUGGCAUGAAGAGAAGAAGAAGCAAGAAAAAGCAGUUUUAAAUAUCAUGAUUACAUCU
Long non-coding RNA from Saccostrea cuccullata (small rock oyster), 224 nucleotides. RefSeq lists it as uncharacterized. The transcript is spliced from 3 exons. The record is from RefSeq and is a predicted model, not a curated record. Lineage: Eukaryota; Metazoa; Mollusca; Bivalvia; Ostreida; Ostreidae.